AGAGUUUGAUCAUGGCUCAGGAUGAACGCUAGCGGCAGGCUUAAUACAUGCAAGUCGAGGGGCAACAGGGGUAGCGAUACCUGCUGGCGACCGGCAAACGGGUGCGCAACACGUACAGAACCUUCCUUUAAGCGGGGGGAUAGCCCAUAGAAAUGUGGAUUAAUACCCCAUGGUAUUAUUGUUUGGCAUCAAAUGAUAAUUAAAGAUUUAUCACUUAGAGAUGGCUGUGCGUCUGAUUAGGUAGUUGGUUGGGGUAAUGGCCCACCAAGCCUUCGAUCAGUAGCUGGUGUGAGAGCACGACCAGUCACACGGGCACUGAGACACGGGCCCGACUCCUACGGGAGGCAGCAGUAAGGAAUAUUGGUCAAUGGAGGCAACUCUGAACCAGCCAUGCCGCGUGAAGGAUGAAGGUCCUCUGGAUUGUAAACUUCUUUUAUGUGGGAAGAAAUGCAUUCUUUAUAGAGUGUUUGACGGUACCAUAGGAAUAAGCACCGGCUAACUCCGUGCCAGCAGCCGCGGUAAUACGGAGGGUGCGAGCGUUAUCCGGAUUCACUGGGUUUAAAGGGUGCGUAGGUGGGGAAGUAAGUCAGUGGUGAAAUCUCCGUGCUUAACAUGGAAACUGCCAUUGAUACUAUUUUUUCUUGAAUUUUCCGGAGGUUAGCGGAAUAUGUCAUGUAGCGGUGAAAUGCUUAGAUAUGACAUAGAACACCAAUUGCGAAGGCAGCUAACUACAGGGAUAUUGACACUGAGGCACGAAAGCGUGGGGAUCAAACAGGAUUAGAUACCCCCGUAGUCC
This 796-nucleotide ribosomal RNA is filed under the name uncultured Segetibacter sp. RNAcentral's name for it is "bacterial SSU rRNA". It matches the Rfam family "Bacterial small subunit ribosomal RNA", at positions 8 to 796 of the family's 1533-position model. Lineage: Bacteria; Pseudomonadati; Bacteroidota; Chitinophagia; Chitinophagales; Chitinophagaceae. The record is from RNAcentral.